AUCCUUUUGUGGUUCAUGAGCUCAUGUUUGUGUGAAAUGUUCCUCCCUCAGACUUUGUUACCACGUCAAUACAUUGCCCGUCUGAUG
This is a small nucleolar RNA of Choloepus hoffmanni (Hoffmann's two-fingered sloth), 87 nucleotides long. The record is from Ensembl. Lineage: Eukaryota; Metazoa; Chordata; Mammalia; Pilosa; Megalonychidae.